This 193-nucleotide ribosomal RNA is filed under the name uncultured bacterium. RNAcentral's name for it is "partial 16S ribosomal RNA". It matches the Rfam family "Bacterial small subunit ribosomal RNA", at positions 338 to 523 of the family's 1533-position model. The record is from RNAcentral.
CCUACGGGGGGCAGCAGUGGGGAAUAUUGGACAAUGGGCGAAAGCCUGAUCCAGCCAUGCCGCGUGUGUGAAGAAGGUCUUCGGAUUGUAAAGCACUUUAAGUUGGGAGGAAGGGCAGUUACCUAAUACGUGAUUGUUUUGACGUUACCGACAGAAUAAGCACCGGCUAACUCUGUGCCAGCAGCCGCGGUAG